Molecule: ribosomal RNA, 253 nt
Filed under: uncultured bacterium
Lineage: Bacteria
Description: partial 16S ribosomal RNA
Rfam family: Bacterial small subunit ribosomal RNA
Source: RNAcentral
UACGAAGGGGGCUAGCGUUGCUCGGAAUCACGGGGCGUAAAGGGCGCGUAGGCGGCCAUUCAAGUCGGAGGUGAAAGCCCAGGGCUCAACCCUGGAAUUGCCUUCGAUACUGUCUGGCUAGAGACCGGAAGAGGUAAGUGGAACUGCGAGUGUAGAGGUGAAAUUCGUAGAUAUUCGCAAGAACACCAGUGGCGAAGGCGGCUUACUGGUCCGGUUCUGACGCUGAGGCUCGAAAGCGUGGGGAUCAAACAGG